This 751-nucleotide ribosomal RNA is filed under the name Actinomycetes bacterium. Its description in RNAcentral is "bacterial SSU rRNA". It matches the Rfam family "Bacterial small subunit ribosomal RNA", at positions 95 to 855 of the family's 1533-position model. Lineage: Bacteria; Bacillati; Actinomycetota; Actinomycetes. The record is from RNAcentral.
GUGGCGAACGGGUGAGUAACACGUGAGUAACCUGCCCUUGACUCUGGGAUAAGCCUGGGAAACCGGGUCUAAUACCGGAUAUGACUGCCGGCCGCAUGGCCUGGUGGUGGAAAGCUUUAUUGCGGUUUUGGAUGGACUCGCGGCCUAUCAGCUUGUUGGCGGGGUAAUGGCCCACCAAGGCGACGACGGGUAGCCGGCCUGAGAGGGUGACCGGCCACACUGGGACUGAGACACGGCCCAGACUCCUACGGGAGGCAGCAGUGGGGAAUAUUGCACAAUGGGCGCAAGCCUGAUGCAGCGACGCCGCGUGAGGGAUGAAGGCCUUCGGGUUGUAAACCUCUUUCAGUAGGGAAGAAGCGAAAGUGACGGUACCUGCAGAAGAAGCGCCGGCUAACUACGUGCCAGCAGCCGCGGUAAUACGUAGGGCGCAAGCGUUAUCCGGAAUUAUUGGGCGUAAAGAGCUCGUAGGCGGUUUGUCGCGUCUGCCGUGAAAGUCCGGGGCUUAACUCCGGAUCUGCGGUGGGUACGGGCAGACUAGAGUGCAGUAGGGGAGACUGGAAUUCCUGGUGUAGCGGUGAAAUGCGCAGAUAUCAGGAGGAACACCGAUGGCGAAGGCAGGUCUCUGGGCUGUAACUGACGCUGAGGAGCGAAAGCAUGGGGAGCGAACAGGAUUAGAUACCCUGGUAGUCCAUGCCGUAAACGUUGGGCACUAGGUGUGGGGGACAUUCCACGUUUUCCGCGCCGUAGCUAA